RNAcentral lists this ribosomal RNA (253 nucleotides) under uncultured bacterium. Its description in RNAcentral is "partial 16S ribosomal RNA". It matches the Rfam family "Bacterial small subunit ribosomal RNA", at positions 524 to 776 of the family's 1533-position model. The record is from RNAcentral.
UACGUAGGGGGCAAGCGUUGUCCGGAUUUAUUGGGCGUAAAGAGCGUGUAGGCGGCCAAGCAGGUCCGCUGUGAAAACUCGAGGCUCAACCUCGAGACGCCGGUUGAAACCAUCUGGCUAGAGUCCGGAAGAGGAGAGUGGAAUUCCUGGUGUAGCGGUGAAAUGCGCAGAUAUCAGGAAGAACACCCGUGGCUAAGGCGGCUCUCUAGUACGGUACUGACGCUGAGACGCGAAAGCGUGGGGAGCGAACAGG